AAGAAUUCUUCACGUGGUAUUUCACAUGAAUGAUGUAUUUUUCUCAUCUUUAAAUCUCUAAUUAAUUCGUACGUGUAUUCUUUGUUUUAAUUGAAAGAUCAACUUCCUCCGGAGAAAUAGAAAUGAAUUCAAACGGAAGAAUAGUUUUAUGCAUUUUCAUAAUCAUUGCCACGAAUACAAUCCACUUUGCUUUCGGUAAAUACGAACCUUUAUACGUUAGGAAAAAAACUGUCGGUUACGGGUACGAUUUGAUACAAAAAGUAAGGUACUAUACCGCGUCCAACACUCUUCUCAUAGUAGAAUCGUUCGGCCAUGAAGUAUUAUUAGCAUGUCCAAUUGUCCAAGAAAAGAUGACUACAAUUAAUUCUCUCGAAAUACAAAAACGGGAGCAAGAUAACACACUCUAUGAUCAUAUUUGCCAAACCGAAAUCCAAUCGAAAUUUUAUACUCCAUCCUGGCCCACACUUCUCUGGAGCGUUAUUGGAUUUACAAUCUUUACACCAGAUGAAGAAGGUCCCAAAUACAACUACUAUGCAGGUGUCCCCAAA
Planococcus citri (citrus mealybug) is the source of this 548-nucleotide long non-coding RNA. RefSeq lists it as uncharacterized. Lineage: Eukaryota; Metazoa; Arthropoda; Insecta; Hemiptera; Pseudococcidae. The record is from RefSeq and is a predicted model, not a curated record. The transcript has 3 exons.